CCUACGGGGGGCAGCAGUGGGGAAUAUUGGACAAUGGGCGAAAGCCUGAUCCAGCCAUGCCGCGUGUGUGAAGAAGGCCUUCGGGUUGUAAAGCACUUUCAGUGGGGAAGAAAGCCUUGGGGCUAAUACCCUCGAGGAAGGACAUCACCCACAGAAGAAGCACCGGCUAACUCCGUGCCAGCAGCCGCGGUAAUACGGAGGGUGCGAGCGUUAAUCGGAAUUACUGGGCGUAAAGCGCGCGUAGGCGGUCUGAUAAGCCGGUUGUGAAAGCCCCGGGCUCAACCUGGGAACGGCAUCCGGAACUGUCAGGCUAGAGUGCAGGAGAGGAAGGUAGAAUUCCCGGUGUAGCGGUGAAAUGCGUAGAGAUCGGGAGGAAUACCAGUGGCGAAGGCGGCCUUCUGGACUGACACUGACGCUGAGGUGCGAAAGCGUGGGUAGCAAACAGGAUUAGAUACCCGAGUAGU
Molecule: ribosomal RNA, 464 nt
Filed under: Vreelandella stevensii
Lineage: Bacteria; Pseudomonadati; Pseudomonadota; Gammaproteobacteria; Oceanospirillales; Halomonadaceae
Description: partial 16S ribosomal RNA
Rfam family: Bacterial small subunit ribosomal RNA
Source: RNAcentral